This 410-nucleotide long non-coding RNA is filed under the name Sorghum bicolor (sorghum). RNAcentral describes it as "long non-coding RNA (SBIC_LNC003038)". Lineage: Eukaryota; Viridiplantae; Streptophyta; Magnoliopsida; Poales; Poaceae. The record is from RNAcentral.
GGCCGAAGCCGCCGCCGUGCUACCCCCGGCCAGAUCCGUCGGACUUGGAACGAGAGGACGCCGGGGGAAAGAUGGGAGAGGCCGAUAGGGAGUGCGAAGGGAGCCCUAGAGCGCCAGCGGAAGCUGAAUCCGGGCUACGCAGUAUCCUCACUCGCAAAGAGCCUCGUCAGGAUCUCGGAACCGGCCGCAAAGGGUACGAGUGACUGAGUUCGUGGAAGAUGACGAGAGAUUCAGAUGGGGUCUUUACCUCCACGCGUUCAAAUACCAAUUAAAAAUAACAGUUGUGAUCAAAGUAUACAACAGUGGUAGUAGUCCAGUGGUCUGUAAGGGUGGUUUACAUCACUUGGUCGUGGGUUCAAUUCCUAGGCGCCCCUUGUUUUUUUGUUCUUAAUUGUUUUAAAUGUCCACUG